GCGCCGGUGGUCUAGUGGCAGGACAUGAGCUUCCCAAGCUCAUAGCCCGGGUUCAACUCCCGGUCGGCGCA
Molecule: transfer RNA, 71 nt
Filed under: Natronococcus pandeyae
Lineage: Archaea; Methanobacteriati; Methanobacteriota; Halobacteria; Halobacteriales; Natrialbaceae
Also listed under: 2 other names
Rfam family: tRNA
About the family: Transfer RNA (tRNA) molecules are approximately 80 nucleotides in length. Their secondary structure includes four short double-helical elements and three loops (D, anti-codon, and T loops).
Source: Rfam by way of RNAcentral